This 2902-nucleotide ribosomal RNA is filed under the name Escherichia coli HVH 118 (4-7345399). RNAcentral describes it as "bacterial LSU rRNA". It matches the Rfam family "Bacterial large subunit ribosomal RNA". Lineage: Bacteria; Pseudomonadati; Pseudomonadota; Gammaproteobacteria; Enterobacterales; Enterobacteriaceae. The record is from RNAcentral.
UUAAGCGACUAAGCGUACACGGUGGAUGCCCUGGCAGUCAGAGGCGAUGAAGGACGUGCUAAUCUGCGAUAAGCGUCGGUGAGGUGAUAUGAACCGUUAUAACCGGCGAUUUCCGAAUGGGGAAACCCAGUGUGUUUCGACACACUAUCAUUAACUGAAUCCAUAGGUUAAUGAGGCGAACCGGGGGAACUGAAACAUCUAAGUACCCCGAGGAAAAGAAAUCAACCGAGAUUCCCCCAGUAGCGGCGAGCGAACGGGGAGGAGCCCAGAGCCUGAAUCAGUGUGUGUGUUAGUGGAAGCGUCUGGAAAGGCGUGCGAUACAGGGUGACAGCCCCGUACACAAAAAUGCACAUAUUGUGAGCUCGAUGAGUAGGGCGGGACACGUGGUAUCCUGUCUGAAUAUGGGGGGACCAUCCUCCAAGGCUAAAUACUCCUGACUGACCGAUAGUGAACCAGUACCGUGAGGGAAAGGCGAAAAGAACCCCGGCGAGGGGAGUGAAAAAGAACCUGAAACCGUGUACGUACAAGCAGUGGGAGCCUCUUUAUGGGGUGACUGCGUACCUUUUGUAUAAUGGGUCAGCGACUUAUAUUCUGUAGCAAGGUUAACCGAAUAGGGGAGCCGAAGGGAAACCGAGUCUUAACUGGGCGUUAAGUUGCAGGGUAUAGACCCGAAACCCGGUGAUCUAGCCAUGGGCAGGUUGAAGGUUGGGUAACACUAACUGGAGGACCGAACCGACUAAUGUUGAAAAAUUAGCGGAUGACUUGUGGCUGGGGGUGAAAGGCCAAUCAAACCGGGAGAUAGCUGGUUCUCCCCGAAAGCUAUUUAGGUAGCGCCUCGUGAAUUCAUCUCCGGGGGUAGAGCACUGUUUCGGCAAGGGGGUCAUCCCGACUUACCAACCCGAUGCAAACUGCGAAUACCGGAGAAUGUUAUCACGGGAGACACACGGCGGGUGCUAACGUCCGUCGUGAAGAGGGAAACAACCCAGACCGCCAGCUAAGGUCCCAAAGUCAUGGUUAAGUGGGAAACGAUGUGGGAAGGCCCAGACAGCCAGGAUGUUGGCUUAGAAGCAGCCAUCAUUUAAAGAAAGCGUAAUAGCUCACUGGUCGAGUCGGCCUGCGCGGAAGAUGUAACGGGGCUAAACCAUGCACCGAAGCUGCGGCAGCGACACUAUGUGUUGUUGGGUAGGGGAGCGUUCUGUAAGCCUGUGAAGGUGGCCUGUGAGGGUUGCUGGAGGUAUCAGAAGUGCGAAUGCUGACAUAAGUAACGAUAAAGCGGGUGAAAAGCCCGCUCGCCGGAAGACCAAGGGUUCCUGUCCAACGUUAAUCGGGGCAGGGUGAGUCGACCCCUAAGGCGAGGCCGAAAGGCGUAGUCGAUGGGAAACAGGUUAAUAUUCCUGUACUUGGUGUUACUGCGAAGGGGGGACGGAGAAGGCUAUGUUGGCCGGGCGACGGUUGUCCCGGUUUAAGCGUGUAGGCUGGUUUUCCAGGCAAAUCCGGAAAACCAAGGCUGAGGCGUGAUGACGAGGCACUACGGUGCUGAAGCGACAAAUGCCCUGCUUCCAGGAAAAGCCUCUAAGCAUCAGGUAACAUCAAAUCGUACCCCAAACCGACACAGGUGGUCAGGUAGAGAAUACCAAGGCGCUUGAGAGAACUCGGGUGAAGGAACUAGGCAAAAUGGUGCCGUAACUUCGGGAGAAGGCACGCUGAUAUGUAGGUGAAGCGACUUGCUCGUGGAGCUGAAAUCAGUCGAAGAUACCAGCUGGCUGCAACUGUUUAUUAAAAACACAGCACUGUGCAAACACGAAAGUGGACGUAUACGGUGUGACGCCUGCCCGGUGCCGGAAGGUUAAUUGAUGGGGUUAGCGGUAACGCGAAGCUCUUGAUCGAAGCCCCGGUAAACGGCGGCCGUAACUAUAACGGUCCUAAGGUAGCGAAAUUCCUUGUCGGGUAAGUUCCGACCUGCACGAAUGGCGUAAUGAUGGCCAGGCUGUCUCCACCCGAGACUCAGUGAAAUUGAACUCGCUGUGAAGAUGCAGUGUACCCGCGGCAAGACGGAAAGACCCCGUGAACCUUUACUAUAGCUUGACACUGAACAUUGAGCCUUGAUGUGUAGGAUAGGUGGGAGGCUUUGAAGUGUGGACGCCAGUCUGCAUGGAGCCGACCUUGAAAUACCACCCUUUAAUGUUUGAUGUUCUAACGUUGGCCCGUAAUCCGGGUUGCGGACAGUGUCUGGUGGGUAGUUUGACUGGGGCGGUCUCCUCCUAAAGAGUAACGGAGGAGCACGAAGGUUGGCUAAUCCUGGUCGGACAUCAGGAGGUUAGUGCAAUGGCAUAAGCCAGCUUGACUGCGAGCGUGACGGCGCGAGCAGGUGCGAAAGCAGGUCAUAGUGAUCCGGUGGUUCUGAAUGGAAGGGCCAUCGCUCAACGGAUAAAAGGUACUCCGGGGAUAACAGGCUGAUACCGCCCAAGAGUUCAUAUCGACGGCGGUGUUUGGCACCUCGAUGUCGGCUCAUCACAUCCUGGGGCUGAAGUAGGUCCCAAGGGUAUGGCUGUUCGCCAUUUAAAGUGGUACGCGAGCUGGGUUUAGAACGUCGUGAGACAGUUCGGUCCCUAUCUGCCGUGGGCGCUGGAGAACUGAGGGGGGCUGCUCCUAGUACGAGAGGACCGGAGUGGACGCAUCACUGGUGUUCGGGUUGUCAUGCCAAUGGCACUGCCCGGUAGCUAAAUGCGGAAGAGAUAAGUGCUGAAAGCAUCUAAGCACGAAACUUGCCCCGAGAUGAGUUCUCCCUGACUCCUAGAGUGUCCUGAAGGAACGUUGAAGACGACGACGUUGAUAGGCCGGGUGUGUAAGCGCAGCGAUGCGUUGAGCUAACCGGUACUAAUGAACCGUGAGGCUUAACCUU